Molecule: long non-coding RNA, 3031 nt
Organism: Canis lupus familiaris (dog)
Lineage: Eukaryota; Metazoa; Chordata; Mammalia; Carnivora; Canidae
Exons: 6
Source: RefSeq, a predicted model, not a curated record
AUUCUGUUCUGUAAAUUCUAGCUUCAUUGGUCUCCCUGGGAUCCCAGAUCCAACUCUCUACUCAGGACUACUGCUAGGCUCAACACUGUGGCCUGGAAAUUCUCUGAAGUUGGUCAGCUGGGGGCAGUCACAGGAUUUGCUUCAGUUGUUUCCAUUUUCCCAGGAAUCAGUGUCAGGCACUGCCGGUGGUCCAAUGUCUGAAAAUCAUUGGUUCAGUUAUUUUUCUGGUUUUUCACUUGUUUUAGGAUGCUGGCAUGAGUGUACAUUUCCUAGAAUUCCUGGAAUCUGAAUGCUAGCUCUUAGAUGGGCUUUAGAAAUUAGCUCAACCUGCACCUCCCAUUUACCAGCAAAGAAACUGAGAUGGGGAAAGGGCCUGCCUUUGUUUGGCCGACUCUAAGCUGGGCCACUUUUCUUAACUUCAGAUAAAAGUUGUUUUGAGGGCAGCCCCAGUGGUGCAGUGGUUUGGCACUGCUUGCAGCCUGGGGUGUGAUCCUGGAGACCCGGGAUCGAGUCCCACAUCGGGCUCCCUGAAUGGAGCCUGCUUCUCCCUCUGCCUGUGUCUCUGCCUCUCUCUCUGUGUCUAUGAAUAAAUAAAAAUAAAAUCUUAAAAAAAAAGGAAAGUUGUUUUGAAAUAAAUGAGCUCCCAGGAGAAAAGAAGGAGCCUGAGGAACUUCAAAUCAAGGCUCCUGUGUGUCAAAGGACAGAGUGAAAAUUCCCAACAGAAACCUGGGGUCACAGUGAAAGGAAGUUUUGGAGAGGAGGACCAACGCCAGAGAGGAGGAGGAGGAAGGAAGGAAGCAAUGAGAGCCAUAAGCCCAUUUCUCAGGUCACUUCAAAAGCCUCCAAUUCAAGACACUGAGCAGAUAAGUAUCUAUUUUUCUUUGCUUAGGAACUGCCCCUCCCCAUUUACUGCCUUACAAUACUAAGCACAUGCUUCUCAGCACGUAAAAAGCCAGGGACAGUCCAGGUUUUGAUGCAGGGGGCAAACUUUGCUUUGCCUUGUUGACCAGCCAUCACAAUGGGGCCUUUCAUUGCAGAAGCACAUGGUUCCGGGCAACGUGACCUAAGAGCUGGCAAGGGCUCUGGGCGGCACAAAGGAACGGAACUUGUCUUUGUGCUGGGAGUGCAGUGUUAGUAUUUGCAGUGGCCCCUCGGUUCAGGAUGUGGGCACUGGUCUGUGCCACUCAGUGGCACCUUUACCCUGUUCCCACACCUCUGCAACCAAUGGGUGGCCAGAGUGGGCCAGGUUCCUGGAAGAGGAGGUGGGGCAAAGUCCACCUGGGUAGACACACUUGUGUACAUCUAAGGCAAUUCUCCAGUGGUCAGAAAACUCCUCUGUGCAGAUUGUGGUCAUUAUUUUCACUUCCUUGGGCAGCAAAAUACUAACCUGGCCUUCUUCAGACAGCAACCCCCAAACCUGAGGAGGUCCUGAUGUGUUUUCCAAAUGUCAGUUCAUCAUAGUCAGCACGGUUUGGGGGCCUGACUGGAAAUGGUGCUCAUCAUCCGGAAUUAACUAAACUUCUACUACACGUACUGCAGACGUGCUGCUAUCCUCCAGUAUCACCAUUUCACUGAGAACCAGUCACCAAGAACUAUUAAUGACAAGUUUACCAGGUCAGUCAGGAAAUCUUCUGGUGGGUGCCAAAGAGUCGGCCACCUGGGGCCUCUCCUUUCCCUCCAAGGAAGACAGGUAAUUUGCAUGAACCAAUGGAAGCUCUAUGGCGUGUACUCCUCAGCGUGCAGGGACUCUUCCAAGAGAAGGUUUCAGAGAAGAGGUUGUGUGGAAACAAAUUAGUUUGCAGAUACAUUCAAAAUGGAAAGCCAGCUGAGGCAGCUAUUUAUUGUGUCUUUCUUGGACACUGAUUCCUUAGUAGGCACACUGGGCUGCCCAAGGACCAAGCUGGAGAGCCCCUCUGGGGUGGGGAUGCCAAAGUGACUCCAGCCGGAUGCUGCGCAUCCCCUAAGGUCAGAGUACUGAGUCCUGAACACGAUUCAUUCUCCGAAGUUCAUCUAGAUUGCACACUCAUCCUCCACAUCAGUCCCAGACAUCCGGCCAGAGGGCAUGCAGCACCCAGGAAGCUAUUCUGCUCUCAGGAAACCAGCUGUGAUGGUCUUCUCCAUCAGGAGUUUGGAAAAGUAGAGGGAUAUGGGGAGGGCCUGAUAUACCCAGUUACCAGCAAAGAAUAAGAUGCUUUGAAAGCAGCCUGCAUAAAGUGACACUGAACAAAUGAAACCCAACAAUUAAGAACCAGGGAAUGAAACAGGCUAGAAAUCAUUUAUCUGUAAACUUACUAGAUUUCAAGUUUGCAAAGUACAUCUGCAAUCAUGUAAAUACAUAAUUAAAGGCAGUUAAAUACGUAGUAAUCAUUCAAUUAUAGUUCCUUAAAUUCUCUUUUUGCCUCCCUUAUUCUCUGGAAGUGAUGUGUACCGUGUAGCUUUAUACCUUGUCACCUUUCUCUUCAGGUUCAUCUUCAUUAAGGAAUUCUCGUUUGGGGUAUGGAAUCUGGCAGCCAGCAAACACACUACAACAUCAUUUAAAAAAAAAAAAAAAAAAAAGAAUAUACAUCACGACCUAAAAUCUACAGUAUCAUUGACCUUGUUAGCUUAAAAUUCCACUUUUUUUCUUAAGCUAUGUCCCACUCUUCAGCUCUAGCUAAUAUUUGCGGGAUGCCUCCCAAGACAACUGAAUUCAAGCAAAUAAGAAAAGAAUUUGUGGGGUGCCUGGGUGGCUUAGUUAGUUAAGUGUCUGACUCUUGAUUUCGGCUCAGGUCAGGAUCUCAGGGCUGUUAGAUCGAGCACCGAGUCAGGCUCUGACCCGCGCUGGGCACACGUGUGCAGAGCCUGCUUGAGAUUCUCUCUCUCCCUCUGCCCUUCACCCCCACCUCCUUCUCUCUCUGGAAAAAAAAAUUGUCUAAGUUUUAUAAUAAUUACCAUCUUCAGUAACAAAUCUUAACUGCUGUUAGCUAGUUGACAUAUAUGAUGGGGAAGUUUCUCCACAGAAAAUUUAUUAGCACACAAAACAAAAUUGAAU